This 514-nucleotide long non-coding RNA is filed under the name Physcomitrium patens. Its description in RNAcentral is "long non-coding RNA (PPAT_LNC009850)". Lineage: Eukaryota; Viridiplantae; Streptophyta; Bryopsida; Funariales; Funariaceae. The record is from RNAcentral.
AGGAUUUGAUUUAGGAUUUAGGAUUUGAUUAGGAUUUGGUUUAGGAUUUAGGAUUUGCUUAAAAUUUUAUUUAAAUUUUAGGAUUUGAUUAGGUUUUGGUUUAAGAUUUAGAAUUUAGUUAGGAUUUGAUUUAGGAUUUAAGAUUUGAUUAAGAUUUGGUUUAGAGUUUAGGAUUUGAUUAGAAUUUGAUUUAGAAUUUAAAAUUUGGUUAGGAUUUGAAUUAGGAUUAGGAUUUAGUUAGGAAUUUAUUUAGAGAUUAAGAUUUUUUAGGAUUUAUUUAGGGUUUAAGAUUUAGUUAUUUUUUGGCCUAAAGUUUAAUUGAAGUCCAAUAGGAUUUUAACUAGGAUUUAAUUAAGAUUAGAUUGAAAUUUAUUUAAGAGAUAUUUGUGAUCAUUCUAAUAUUUCUAUAAGAUUUCUUAUUGUUUCUUUGUAAUUCUUUUAAGAUUUAUUUGAAUUGAUUAAAGCUUGCUUUACAUUUUUAUAGUCUAAUUAGAGUUUAAUUAGUGUUCUAUUA